AGCCAGAUCCACGCCUCGGUUCCCAGGAAAUCCCAUUGAAACACAAUGGAACAACUCAUGUGUCCAUCCCUCGCCAGGGUGGAGAGAGCUGCACAAUCUGCCCUACAGGUUUGCUGUCUGGGUUGGAACCACGGGCGCAUCGCUGGGCAGUUCCGAGUGUGGUUCUCAAUCUCAUACUGACCACGCUCCUCCUCCUCCUCAUCAUCAUCUCCAUCAUGGCACUGCCAGCAAAGAAACCUGAGCCGUGUCCAGCUGGUGCUGCCUGCCCAGUGGCCGCCUGCCCAGACGGCUGGGUCGGGUACCUGGGGAAGUGUUACUAUUUCUCACAGGCCGAAGGGAACUGGACCUACAGCCAGAGCCACUGCUCUUCACUUAACGCCUCCCUGGUUGUGAUUGACACCCAGCAGGAAAUGGUGAGACCCAGAUUCUGGGCUGCA
Non-coding RNA from Chrysemys picta bellii (western painted turtle), 437 nucleotides. NCBI's taxonomy places the organism in Eukaryota, Metazoa, Chordata, Testudines, Emydidae. The record is from RefSeq and is a predicted model, not a curated record.